UGUGAAUAUAUAUAGUUACAUCAUGACAUAAAUCCUACCAAGUAGUAGUUGCAUCACAGAUCUGAACAUCAGGGAAUCUAGUUUCCUUCUACACUAUGAUGAAUAAUGAGUUUGUAUCCAUAAAUGGUGUGGAAGAAAAAAUGACACUCAUGUAAUGGCACAACUUCUUAUCUCCAUUCAUCCAGACUCCAAAGAAACAGUUAUACUCUUGUAAGCUUAAAACUAAAGUGUACAACUGUCAAAAAGCCUUCUGAUUUCGAAAACAGGUCAUGCACUGCAACUGGAAUUUUCUCUUGCAAUGCAGAGAUGAAAUAAUGGCUACAACUGGAGAAGGUCUUGAAUGGAUUAGGAAGAUAUGAGUAGAUGAGGCGUAUGAAACGGGGCAAAAUCUUGGGAGACAAACAGUCUUAGCUAAGGGAAGAAAGCAGUAGCUACGGAAGAGCUGUGUAAUGGGUUCUAUCAUAAUGGGUUGAAAGAAACUCAUCUGGUACAUAUACUUGCAAGUUAUAGUGAAUUUGUUCACUUUGCAUAUAUUUGUUCAUUUGUUGCUGUGUUGUCUUUGUUUCAAGUAUAGGACCAAUGUCUAGUCCUAAGAGUGUGAUCCACAGCAGCCUUGUGUUGGUUCUACAGGGCUCUACUGCAACUUAAUAUGUUGAAGAAGUCAAUCUAAGCUCGAGCAAUGAUUGUUCAACAUAUGCAAUGAAAGUGGAAAAUUAGUCUUUUGUUCAAGUCGAGGUCAAUGCUUCAGGACCUCAAGUUGAUGAUAGGCUUUGCUUUCUUUCUUUUUUUUGGUUCAGGAUAAAUUAUUACAUUGCUUAUGAGACUAUUAAUAAGAAGACUGAAAAUGUAAUGUCAAUGUUCAUUGCAAAUGGUAUUUAAAGUGAUUACCUUGGAAAUUUGAUCAGGUCAUUCAAAUGAGAUCUUCUUGCAAUGCAGAUAAAACAACGUUUACAACUGGUGGAGGUCAUGUAUGGGUUGGGGAGAUAUGAGUAGAAGUGUCUGAAAAAUGCUAUGUAUUUUUUAUUUUCUUUGGAGA
Long non-coding RNA from Quercus lobata, 1036 nucleotides. RefSeq lists it as uncharacterized. NCBI's taxonomy places the organism in Eukaryota, Viridiplantae, Streptophyta, Magnoliopsida, Fagales, Fagaceae. The record is from RefSeq and is a predicted model, not a curated record. The transcript has 3 exons.